This 338-nucleotide ribosomal RNA is filed under the name uncultured euryarchaeote. Its description in RNAcentral is "bacterial SSU rRNA". It matches the Rfam family "Archaeal small subunit ribosomal RNA", at positions 340 to 677 of the family's 1478-position model. Lineage: Archaea; Methanobacteriati; Methanobacteriota. The record is from RNAcentral.
CGAGAAAACUUUGCAAUGUGCGAAAGCACGACAAGGUUAAUCCGAGUGAUUCCUGCUAAAGGAAUCUUUUGUUAGUCGUAAAACCACUGAUGAAUAAGGGGUGGGCAAGUUCUGGUGUCAGCCGCCGCGGUAAAACCAGCACCUCAAGCGGUCAGGAGGAUUAUUGGGACCUAAAGCAUCCGUAGCCUGCUCUGUAAGUUUCCGGUUAAAUCCAUUUGCUCAACAAAUGGGCUGACCGAAAAUACUGCAGGACUAGGGAGUGGGAGAGGUAGACGGUACUCGGUAGGAAGGGGUAAAAUCCUUUGAUCUAUUGAUGACCACCUGUGGCGAAGGCGGUC